Molecule: small RNA, 346 nt
Filed under: Pongo abelii (Sumatran orangutan)
Lineage: Eukaryota; Metazoa; Chordata; Mammalia; Primates; Hominidae
Description: processed transcript
Source: RNAcentral
ACUCUGCGAGCUUUGCUGCCCGGGACCUGGAGGAUGCCCCUCGCUUGCAGGGUCUCUCCUUUGGGGAGAGACGCUGAAAUUAUCUAGGCAGACUUUGAUCCCCUGUGUGGCCCCCUAGAGCAAUUUAAACGACAGACUGACUCGUGGGCAGGCUUUUAAAACCGCCCCUCCAGAUGGUUGCAACUUUCUCUCCUUCGCCGUUGCUUCCUGCGUGUUUGUGCGUUAUAUUCUCUGCUGCAAGUGCAAUGGAUGAGCUUCAUAGUCUGGAUCCAAGAAGGCAAGAGUUAUUGGAAGCUAGAUUUACUGGAGUUGCAAGUGGGAGCACUGGAAGUACGGGCAGUUGCAG